Non-coding RNA from Oryza brachyantha (malo sina), 197 nucleotides. Lineage: Eukaryota; Viridiplantae; Streptophyta; Magnoliopsida; Poales; Poaceae. The record is from Rfam.
UUUUUGUUUUUUCGUGUUCAACGUUUAACCAUUUGUCUUAUUUAAAAAAUUUAUGUAAAAACUUAAAAAAAUUAGUCACGUAUAAAGUACUAUUUAUAUUUUAUCAUUUAGUAAUAAUAAAAAUAUUAAUCGCAAAAAAAAUUCAAAUAAAACGAAUCGUCAAACGUUGGACACGAAAAACGAAAAAUAAGAUUAUU